CCUACGGGAGGCAGCAGUGGGGAAUUUUGGACAAUGGGCGCAAGCCUGAUCCAGCAAUGCCGCGUGAGUGAAGAAGGCCUUCGGGUUGUAAAGCUCUUUUGUCAGGGAAGAAACGGUGGGAGCUAAUAUCUCCCGCUAAUGACGGUACCUGAAGAAUAAGCACCGGCUAACUACGUGCCAGCAGCCGCGGUAAUACGUAGGGUGCAAGCGUUAAUCGGAAUUACUGGGCGUAAAGCGUGCGCAGGCGGUUUUGUAAGUCUGUCGUGAAAGCCCCGGGCUCAACCUGGGAAUUGCGAUGGAGACUGCAAGGCUUGAAUCUGGCAGAGGGGGGUAGAAUUCCACGUGUAGCAGUGAAAUGCGUAGAGAUGUGGAGGAACACCGAUGGCGAAGGCAGCCCCCUGGGUCAAGAUUGACGCUCAUGCACGAAAGCGUGGGGAGCAAACAGGAUUAGAUACCCUGGUAGUCCACGCCCUAAACGAUGUCUACUAGUUGUCGGGUUUUAAUUAACUUGGUAACGCAGCUAACGCGUGAAGUAGACCGCCUGGGGAGUACGGUCGCAAGAUUAAAACGUCAAAGGAAUUAGACGG
Molecule: ribosomal RNA, 587 nt
Filed under: uncultured bacterium
Lineage: Bacteria
Description: bacterial SSU rRNA
Rfam family: Bacterial small subunit ribosomal RNA
Source: RNAcentral